AUUGAACGCUGGCGGCAUGCCUUACACAUGCCAGUCGAACGGUAACAGGUCUUCGGGUGCUGACGAGUGGCGAACGGGGGGGUAAUACAUCGGAACGGGCCCGAUCGUGGGGGGUAACGAAGCGAAAGCUUUUCUAAUACCGCAUACGAUCUACGGAUGAAAGCCGGGGGCCGCAAGGCCUUGCGCGAACGGAGCGGCCGAUGGCAGAUUAGGUAGUUGGUGGGAUAAAAGCUUACCAAGCCGACGAUCUGUAGCUGGUCUGAGAGGACGACCAGCCACACUGGGACUGAGACACGGCCCAGACUCCUACGGGAGGCAGCAGUGGGGAAUUUUGGACAAUGGGCGAAAGCCUGAUCCAGCCAUGCCGCGUGCAGGAUGAAGGCCUUCGGGUUGUAAACUGCUUUUGUACGGAACGAAAAGACUCUGGUUAAUACCUGGGGUCCAUGACGGUACCGUAAGAAUAAGCACCGGCUAACUACGUG
RNAcentral lists this ribosomal RNA (482 nucleotides) under uncultured bacterium. RNAcentral describes it as "partial 16S ribosomal RNA". It matches the Rfam family "Bacterial small subunit ribosomal RNA", at positions 30 to 507 of the family's 1533-position model. The record is from RNAcentral.